AGCGGGUGUGGUGUUAAUGGCUAGCACAAUAGCCUUCCAAGCUAUUGGUACGGGUUCGAAUCCCGUCACCCGCUCCAU
This 78-nucleotide transfer RNA is filed under the name SAR86 cluster bacterium SAR86A. Its description in RNAcentral is "tRNA-Gly". It matches the Rfam family "tRNA". Rfam says of the family: Transfer RNA (tRNA) molecules are approximately 80 nucleotides in length. Their secondary structure includes four short double-helical elements and three loops (D, anti-codon, and T loops). The record is from RNAcentral. Lineage: Bacteria; Pseudomonadati; Pseudomonadota; Gammaproteobacteria.